CCUACGGGAGGCAGCAGUAGGGAAUUUUCGUCAAUGGGCGCAAGCCUGAACGAGCAAUGCCGCGUGAACGAGGAAGGUCUUCGGAUCGUAAAGUUCUGUUGACGGGGAAAAAGAGCGGAGAGAGGAAAUGGUCUCCGAUUGAUAUUACCCUUCGAGGAAGUCCCGGCUAACUACGUGCCAGCAGCCGCGGUAAUACGUAGGUGGCGAGCGUUAUCCGGAAUGAUUGGGCGUAAAGGGUGCGUAGGCGGCCUGCUAAGUCUGGAGUGAAAGGUACCGGCUCAACCGGUACAGGCUCUGGAAACUGGCGGGCUAGAGAGCAGGAGAGGGCGGUGGAACUCCAUGUGUAGCGGUAAAAUGCGUAGAUAUAUGGAAGAACACCAGUGGCGAAGGCGGCCGCCUGGCCUGGUGACUGACGCUGAGGCACGAAAGCGUGGGGAGCAAAUAGGAUUAGAUACCCGAGUAGUC
RNAcentral lists this ribosomal RNA (465 nucleotides) under uncultured bacterium. RNAcentral's name for it is "partial 16S ribosomal RNA". It matches the Rfam family "Bacterial small subunit ribosomal RNA", at positions 338 to 795 of the family's 1533-position model. The record is from RNAcentral.